RNAcentral lists this ribosomal RNA (314 nucleotides) under Boophis quasiboehmei. RNAcentral's name for it is "partial 16S ribosomal RNA". It matches the Rfam family "Bacterial large subunit ribosomal RNA", at positions 2229 to 2597 of the family's 2925-position model. The record is from RNAcentral. Lineage: Eukaryota; Metazoa; Chordata; Amphibia; Anura; Mantellidae.
UUCUAUACCCCAUUAUUUGCCCGACCUCUGUCUGCUCAGUUUUAGGUUGGGGUGACCACGGAGUAUAAAAUAACCUCCAUGAAGAAGGGGAUAUUUCCCUUAUUAGAGAACCACACUUCCAAGAACUAAUAAAUUAAUUUUCAAUGACCCGAUACCCGAUAAUCGAUCAACGAACCAAGUUACCCUGGGGAUAACAGCGCAAUCCACCCUGAAAGCCCUUAUUAACAGGUGGGUUUACGACCUCGAUGUUGGAUCAGGGUAUCCCAGUGGUGCAGCAGCUACUGAGGGUUCGUUUGUUCAACGAUUAAAACCCU